AGCUUUGCGCGUGGCAGUAUCGUAGCCAAUGAGGUUUAUCCGAGGCGCGAUUAUUUCUAAUUGAAAACUUUUCAUAUAGAACUCCAAUUAGCAAUGAUAAAAAAAGCUAUACCAGGGCAUAUAAUAGUUGAGAUUCAACAAAUUCA
This is a small nuclear RNA of Octodon degus (degu), 146 nucleotides long. Its record names the gene U4. It matches the Rfam family "U4 spliceosomal RNA". Rfam says of the family: U4 small nuclear RNA (U4 snRNA) is a component of the major U2-dependent spliceosome. The structure of U4 snRNA from yeast and human has been reported. U4 snRNA presents a k-turn RNA motif in the 5p-SL related to recognition of Snu13 protein. NCBI's taxonomy places the organism in Eukaryota, Metazoa, Chordata, Mammalia, Rodentia, Octodontidae. The record is from Ensembl.